UGAAGUUUUUUCAGUUCACCCAUAAGUCCAGACCAGGAUGGACGGAGAUAGUCUUCAUGCCCAGCUGAGACUUACUUUGCCCUCUGGUCUGAUCCAGAGGUGGUGGUGAACAAGACCCAGGCCCAAGAUAAUGAUAUGAAUUAUGACUUCUAAAUGAAGAUGAGCAAGUGGAAGUCUCAAAAUAUCAGGCAUAUGUUCAUUUGAAGGAGUUCCAUAUGCCAAGUCUGACCCAGUUCCCAUAAGUAUUAAGAAGGCAUGACUGGAACUACUGUACCUGUUCACUCAGCUACAAGAAGAGCUUGAGUAUUUUACUUGUGCCAGCUGCAAAACUGCAUCAUCUGUCUCAAGUCACAGAAGCAAUGGCUUUUACCAAGAGCAAAAGAGCUGGUUAGGACACUAAUUAAAAACAAUUGUUGGAGUUGCAGGAAAAGAAACAGGAGCUGUGCAGCAAAUGGGGAAGUUUGGACACUGUCAAGGAAGAAAGAGCAAUAUUGCUAUACAUAGAAAGACCUUGAGACUUGUGAACCAAGUCACAUGAUAAUAAAAAUAUUCCUCCCA
Molecule: long non-coding RNA, 558 nt
Organism: Mauremys reevesii (Reeves's turtle)
Lineage: Eukaryota; Metazoa; Chordata; Testudines; Geoemydidae
Exons: 2
Source: RefSeq, a predicted model, not a curated record